GGCACUGGGGCAGAGUAGGAGGACUCCAGAAGAUGCUGUCUCUCCUGAUCAUCUGUCUCCUGCCCACCAUCGAAGGGAAGAACUGCCUCCGCUGCUGGCCAGAACUGUCUGCCUUGAUAGACUAUGACCUACAGAUUCUCUGGGGGACCCCGGGGCCACCCACAGAACUUUCUCAAAGCAUUCACUCCCUGUUCCUAGAGGAUAAUAAUUUUCUGAAACCCUGGUACCUUGAUCGUGACCAUUUGGAAGAAGAAACAGCCAAAUUCUUCACUCAAGUACACCAAGCCAUUAAAACGUUACGAGAUGAUAAAACGGUACUUCUGGAAGAGAUCUACAUGCACAAGAAUCUAUUUACUGAGAGGCUGAAUAAGAUAUCUGAUGGGCUGAAGGAGAAGGGUAAGGGCCCGUGUCCCUCCCCUCCCAUAGACAUACAGUCCACACUGAAGGUCACCAGCUGUGCCGACUGCAGGACUCACUUCCUCUCCUGCAAUGACCCCACUUUCUGCCCAGCCAGGAACCGGCGGACCUCCCUGUGGGCUGUGAGUCUCAGCAGUGCUCUGCUCCUGGCCAUAGCUGGAGGUGGAUGUUUCUUUUACUGGCACAGGAAGAAGGAGGCAGUAAAGCAGGAACAGGGCAGCCCGCAUGUCUUCCAGAAGUGAACAGAGGCCUCAGCUACCGUCACGAAGUUCACUCAUCUCUGGGUCCCGGUGACCCCCUCCCCUGAUACCCUCCAUCCUGGGUCCUGGGGCCCCAAAGCUCUGAGGCCUAGGAGACUGUGCUGUCUCGUGGUUUGCCUACUCCUACACCUUCAUAAACAGUCUCUUCAUUAAAAUCCCUCCUCAUAGCCUAGUUGACUGUGCUGUCUCUCUCCUGCCGGGUGCUGAGAUGGGACAUACCCUGAGUGCCAUGUCCCAUCCCCUCACCCUCCCCCUCCUCUCCAGAAUCACCCUGUCCUGGUCCCAAAAUGAUGGUUUUAUGGGCUCAUCCAGGCCUCACCUAAUUCCAAUACCUGAGACGAGGCCAGGGGUGGCCUAGUGCCCCCCUCUGCAUCUCAGUUUCCCCAUCUGAGCACAAGGAGAUGGGGGUGUGAUGCUUUCGCCAGGCUGGUGUGCUCUGACCCAGGAACCUGCCCGGCUCAUAUUUACUGUCCAGUAUUUGGCCAUGCCAUGGGUGCAGAUCCAAAGCCCUCACUCCCCUUUUCUCCUUCAGUCCACCAAAGCCCUGCCAGGGUCCUCAGCCCAGCUCCUAAAAGGAGAACACCUGUCUCCUUAGGCCGUUUGUGCUUGCUCCUUGGAGCUGGCAGCUCAGCCUGGAAGGCUUGGACUCAGGCUGACUUCAACACCACCAACCCAUGGUGCCCCUCUGCAUGGGUGAGCUACAGCAGCAGCAGGGAGACUCAGGAAGACUGCAGGGGCUCGACUGAGGAUGACCUCAAAGUUUGGGAGAGCUUUCUGCAACAUCACGGGACAGAGGAGACAAUAGUUGGAGUCUGAGUUUGGAGUGGGGCAUAGGAGCACCACCUCUGUCAAAUGCCAGUGUGGAAGCUGACAUCAACGGACACCCAGAGACAGAGCCCACACUCUGCAGAUCGCAGCAUCUCUUGCCAAAGGAGGUGAGCCAGGAAGCUUCUAGGAGUUCCCGGGGAGCAGCUGUGACAUGCUGAUGAGACCCAUCACUGACUCCUGACUCUGCUGCUGAACCCAGCAACAGCGUCCUGCACAGUGCCCACCUGGUUCACAUCACCAGGGACCUGUACCCACGGCUGUCUGAGCCCAUCUCUUCUAGAAACCCCUAUCAGUCCUGAGGACUAAAACCCUUCUCUCAUUCCCAGCACCCUUACUCUGGACCAUCCAGUACAUCUUCCCUGUACUCC
RNA transcript from Pongo pygmaeus (Bornean orangutan), 1873 nucleotides. It is a transcript of the gene named testis expressed 51, with no coding region annotated. Lineage: Eukaryota; Metazoa; Chordata; Mammalia; Primates; Hominidae. The record is from RefSeq and is a predicted model, not a curated record. The transcript is spliced from 9 exons.